RNAcentral lists this ribosomal RNA (253 nucleotides) under uncultured bacterium. RNAcentral describes it as "partial 16S ribosomal RNA". It matches the Rfam family "Bacterial small subunit ribosomal RNA", at positions 524 to 776 of the family's 1533-position model. The record is from RNAcentral.
UACGUAGGUAGCGAGCGUUGUUCGGAAUUACUGGGCGUAAAGAGUGUGUAGGCGGUGCUCUAAGUUCGGUGUGAAAUCUCCCGGCUUAACUGGGAGGGUGCGCCGGAAACUGGAGUGCUCGAGCGUGGGAGAGGAAAGCGGAAUUCCUGGUGUAGCGGUGAAAUGCGUAGAUAUCAGGAGGAACACCUGCGGUGUAGACGGCUUUCUGGACCAUUGCUGACGCUGAGACACGAAGGCGUGGGUAGCAAACAGG